Molecule: ribosomal RNA, 253 nt
Filed under: uncultured bacterium
Lineage: Bacteria
Description: partial 16S ribosomal RNA
Rfam family: Bacterial small subunit ribosomal RNA
Source: RNAcentral
UACGUAGGGUGCAAGCGUUAAUCGGAAUUACUGGGCGUAAAGCGUGCGCAGGCGGUGAUGUAAGACAGUUGUGAAAUCCCCGGGCUCAACCUGGGAACUGCAUUUGUGACUGUAGAGCUGGAGUACGGCAGAGGGGGAUGGAAUUCCGCGUGUAGCAGUGAAAUGCGUAGAUAUGCGGAGGAACACCGAUGGCGAAGGCAAUCCCCUGGGCCUGUACUGACGCUCAUGCACGAAAGCGUGGGGAGCAAACAGG